AUUGUUUAAAAAUACACGGGAGGAUAUCUUGCCCUGCACGAUCUCUUCCUCCUCUCCCCUCCACGAUCUCUUCCUCCUCUCCAUUAUCUCUCUUCCAGUUUGUCAAAAAAAUAUCUCUCCCAAUUGAAACACAAAUCCAUCCAGAUCUCUUCCUCUUGAUUAUCUCUCUCCUCCCCAAUGAAAAACAAAUCGAUCUUCUCUCUCAAACAGAAGGUUUACGAUUGCAUCGACCAUCACUUUUCCUUUGGAUUCCGAUUCAAGUUUUUUUCUAUUGUGCCUUCUCAAAGUUUUGUACUCUCCACGGGUUGGAUCCUAGAUUUUCUCAAGUUCGUCAUGGAGAUCAGGUGUACAAUUGAAUCAACUGUGGCUUUCCCUUUGGAUUUGGAUUCAAUUUUUUGUCUACCGUGUCCUCUGAUAGUUUUGUGCUCUCUACGGAUUGGAUCACUUUUCUUCUCGCAGACAAUUUUGCGAUGACUCAUGGAGAUCAGUUUGAAGCGCACCAACUAUCCCCAUGUGCUCAAGAUUCUGCCACCCUGUGCCAAGGUUGUCUCUGGUCUGUUGAUAUGGUUGUUCGGUUGGUUAGAUCAUACAUGUUGCUUACAUAGUGCAGAUUCAAUGACUGAUGAUAAGGUUUAAUCUAUUUUUUCAAAUUAAAGCCAUGGAUUUGCCAGCAGCUUCCCUUGAGACUAAUCAAGUACUGCCACUCUUAAGAAUUUUACGAUGUUUUAUCUGUUUUAACCAAGUACUAAUUUUUUAUAUUCAGGUUAUGAUUUCUUUCUUUUUUGCAGUAUAUGGUUUAAAACAUUGGUGCGUGAUAUGGCAAUGCAAUUAGCCUCAAUGGAGAAGCAUUCCCCUAGAAAGUGAAGUUCAGAAUAGUUAGGCUACUGAGAGAAAUCCCUUGAAACAGAAGGACGGACUAAUUCGGCUAUGGGAUGUCAUUAACGUCGAUAGCAACGAUCUUAUUAGACUUGACAUUAAACUAGAUGAAGUGGUCAGCCUAUUGGUAAAAUUAUAUGAUUUGCCAACAGAAACAUGGUAUUAUGAGUUAUGUUAAUUAAUAUGGUCAGCCUAUUGGUAAAAUUAUAUGAUUUGCCAACAGAAACAUGGUAUUAUGAGUUAUGGUAAUUAUUAUAAAUAUAGAGGCAUCUUCUGUCUGCAUUAUUUGACACUAUGUUGGCUUAGCUGUGUGUGAUCUCUACGAUUUUACAAAUCCGUGAAAGUAUCAGUCAAUCCAAAAUUUGCUUGACCGCCAUUGCAGCUGGCCACCGUGGUGAUACCGGAUUCAUCACGUUACUGCUUCUUGGGAGGAACGCCGUCGCUGCACGGCAUGUCGACAUGCAACGCCAAUGCGAAGGCAUGUUCACUCGCUACCUUAUUAGUUAUUGUAAAUAUAGAGGCAUCUUCUCUCUGCAUUAUUUGACACUAUGUUGGCUUAGCUGCGUGUGUAUCUCUGCAAUGUUAUUAAUCUGUGCACGUAUCAGUCAAUCCAAAAUUUGCUUGAGCGCCAUUGCAGCUGCUCACCGUCGUUAUGGAAGAUUCAUCACGUUACUGCUUCUUGGGUGCAACACCGUCGCUGCACCGCCGGUCGACAUGCAAUGCCAAUGCAAAGGCAUCUGCAUUUGCUACCUUAUUCCCAUGCUUCCUGUCGCAGGCGCAGUCAGCUCGCGAAGUUCUCGAUGUAGGCAUACAUGUGAUGGCUUUCUCGAGCAGCACAUACAUAUAUGGUUUCCAUGUCAGAGUUUGUUGUUUUCAUUCUUCAGUCUUCCUUUUGAUGUUUUCGCAUUGUACUGAUUUUCAGUUUAUUCGAUACAAAUUUAAUUUUCUGCUUCUUGGGUGGAACACGGUCGCUGCACCGCCGGUCGACAUGCAAUGCCAAUGCAAAGGCACGUGCACUCGCUACCUUAUUCCCAUGCUUCCUGUCGCAGGUGCAGUCAGCUCAUGAAGGUCUCGAUAUAGGCAUACAUGUGAUGGCUUUCCACAGCAGCACGUACAUAUAUGGUUUCCAUGUCAGUCUGUUGUUUGAUUCUUCUGUUUUUCUUUCGAUGAUUUCCCAUUGUACUGAUUUUGAGUUUAUUUGAUAGAAAUUAUAUUUUUAAUUUAGGGGAAAAGAAUAUUUGGUUUGCUUUGUGUGUAAGUCAAUUUAAUUCGUUGGAGUAUGUCUUCAACCUUGAUCGUUUUGUCAUGUUCUACGUAUAUGUGGAUUUUGUUUCUCACAUUCAAUGUUGUGCCUGAACCUUCCAUAAUUUGGUUUUUCUUUAAGGAUCCAAAUAGAUUCAUUUUUCCUUUCACUUUCUAACCAUCAGUAUGCGGUAGAAUUUUUGUCUCCAGGGUUAUUAUAGUUGAAGUUAUGUAUGUUCUCCAUGUUUCCACUUAUUUCUCUGAAAGACGACGAGUUGUUUGGCGAUGCCAUUAAUAGCUGUGUAUGGUUGUCUCCAGGAUACAGAAAUUAUUUCCGCAAGCUAGCAUCAUUGUUGGACACGGGUUAUUGUCUGCAUCUACUCAUGUUUGAGGCAAAAAAUUUGAUAGUUAACUGAUUUUUCAUAUAAAGUUCCCACACACAUAAUGGAGAACAAGAAAGCCAUUAAAUUAAAUAUCUAGAAAGUUUAAGUUUAAGUUUAAAUACAGUAGUAGUAUUUUGGUAAAUAUCAUAUAUUGAUUCAAAAUUCAGUUUGGUCACGGUACAUACCAAAUUAUUUCAAGUUGGUUUCAGUAUAUGCCCCAUUAACCAAAUUGACCUGAAUUCAAGAAAGUGACGGCCACAUUUUACUUUUGUUCGUAUAUUAAAAUAUAUUUUGUCAUUUUAAUUUUUGGAAGUGACUAAUAUAAUCGAAGUGGUCAUGUUCGGAGAGCAAUACAGGACCAAAGGGAUGCACAAAAG
Molecule: long non-coding RNA, 2878 nt
Organism: Triticum aestivum (bread wheat)
Lineage: Eukaryota; Viridiplantae; Streptophyta; Magnoliopsida; Poales; Poaceae
Exons: 3
Source: RefSeq, a predicted model, not a curated record